This is a long non-coding RNA of Leptinotarsa decemlineata (Colorado potato beetle), 950 nucleotides long. The record is from RefSeq and is a predicted model, not a curated record. Lineage: Eukaryota; Metazoa; Arthropoda; Insecta; Coleoptera; Chrysomelidae.
AAACUAUGAAAAUCACCACGGAGGCAGCUAUAGCUCCCUGCGUGACAUCUGGGUCCAGGAAAUUAUACAAAUAUGAAAGUUAUUGACUGUCUUGAUAUAGAAACAGAAGUUAAUAAUCUUGAGAGCUAUGUGCGAUUAUUAACUUCUGUUUCUAUAUCAAGACACUCAAUACAAAACACGUAUUGUAAGUUCAAAAACACUUGAAUAAAUAAGUAUCGUGAAUACAGUUGCCAGUUCUCACACAGACAUACGUAGAUCUCUUUACUCUAUUGGUAACAUUUUUCAAAAACUAUAAUGUUGACUAGCUAACUUCAGGGACUUCCUCUCCGAUCACGAGAGGGUUGAUCUGAUAACGACAGUCCUCAAAUAUGGCACGUGGAUGUCUCAGACAGCUGCGCCCCCGGACAAAGCUUCUGUUCACUAUGGACAAGAGGAGUCUGGCCAAAUGCGCUCGACCGAGAAGCAACGGCCAUAUAAAUUUAAUAAGAAGAAGCUAACUUCAGGGUGUCGGUUUUUCGUGACGGUGUGCGCGCACAUCGUAAAAAUUUACUGUCAUCAUUUUUCUCUAACGCGCCAAAAGACCCUUCAUAGCCAAAAGAAGUAUAACUUCAAAAAUUAGAACCCACAAUACUUUGUUGAUACCGGCGGAAUAAAUAGCGGUGCUGAAUCCAAAACAAACACUGCAACAUUCUACUUGCCACUCGUUCCUUCAAACAAGCUGGCUUCAUCAGAAGAGGACCUAUACUGAAAAGUUCAUAAUAUAGUUCAUCUUCUGAUGAACUAUAUAUCACCAACUUGGCUGGUGAAACACAUAACAGAGGUUCCAGUUCUACCUUCCAGCGGUACUGAAUAGAGAAGAUUGGGACGGAUCAUUGGCAUGAGUGAACAUGCAUGAACACUUUUUUAUUUUAUAGAAAGUAUAUUACAAUAAAUAAAUAAGAAUACAUUUA